CUACGUGCCAGCAGCCGCGGUAAUACGUAGGGCGCGAGCGUUGUCCGGAAUUAUUGGGCGUAAAGAGCUUGUAGGCGGUUUGUCGCGUCUGCUGUGAAAGGCCGGGGCUUAACUCCGUGUAUUGCAGUGGGUACGGGCAGACUAGAGUGCAGUAGGGGAGACUGGAAUUCCUGGUGUAGCGGUGGAAUGCGCAGAUAUCAGGAGGAACACCGAUGGCGAAGGCAGGUCUCUGGGCUGUAACUGACGCUGAGAAGCGAAAGCAUGGGGAGCGAACAGGAUUAGAUACCCUGGUAGUCCAUGCCGUAAACGUUGGGCACUAGGUGUGGGGGACAUUCCACGUUUUCCGCGCCGUAGCUAACGCAUUAAGUGCCCCGCCUGGGGAGUGCGGCCGCAAGGCUAAAACUCAAAGAAAUUGACGGGGGCCCGCACAAGCGGCGGAGCAUGCGGAUUAAUUCGAUGCAACGCGAAGAACCUUACCAAGGCUUGACAU
RNAcentral lists this ribosomal RNA (490 nucleotides) under uncultured bacterium. RNAcentral's name for it is "bacterial SSU rRNA". It matches the Rfam family "Bacterial small subunit ribosomal RNA", at positions 501 to 987 of the family's 1533-position model. The record is from RNAcentral.